RNAcentral lists this ribosomal RNA (460 nucleotides) under uncultured bacterium. RNAcentral describes it as "partial 16S ribosomal RNA". It matches the Rfam family "Bacterial small subunit ribosomal RNA", at positions 338 to 795 of the family's 1533-position model. The record is from RNAcentral.
CCUACGGGGGGCAGCAGUGAGGAAUAUUGGUCAAUGGACGAGAGUCUGAACCAGCCAAGUCGCGUGAAGGAUGACUGCCCUAUGGGUUGUAAACUUCUUUUAUAAAGGAAUAAAACGAGGCACGUGUGCCUUUUUGCAUGUACUUUAUGAAUAAGGAUCGGCUAACUCCGUGCCAGCAGCCGCGGUAAUACGGAGGAUCCGAGCGUUAUCCGGAUUUAUUGGGUGUAAAGGGAGCGUAGAUGGGUUGUUAAGUCAGUUGUGAAAGUUUGCGGCUCAACCGUAAAAUUGCAAUUGAUACUGGCAGUCUUGAGUACAGUUGAGGUAGGCGGAAUUCGUGGUGUAGCGGUGAAAUGCGUAGAUAUCACGAAGAACACCGAUUGCGAAGGCAGCUUACUAAACUGUGACUGACAUUGAUGCUCGAAAGUGUGGGUAGCAAACAGGAUUAGAUACCCCUGUAGUC